AGUGAACGCUGGCGGUAGGCCUAACACAUGCAAGUCGAACGGCAGCACAGUAAGAGCUUGCUCUUACGGGUGGCGAGUGGCGGACGGGUGAGGAAUACAUCGGAAUCUACUUUUUCGUGGGGGAUAACGUAGGGAAACUUACGCUAAUACCGCAUACGACCUACGGGUGAAAGCAGGGGAUCUUCGCACCUUGCGCGAUUGAAUGAGCCGAUGUCGGAUUAGCUAGUUGGCGGGGUAAAGGCCCACCAAGGCGACGAUCCGUAGCUGGCCUGAGAGGAUGAUAAGCCACACUGGAACUGAGACACGGUCCAGACUCCUACGGGAGGCAGCAGUGGCGAAUAUUGGACAAUGGGCGCAAGCCUGAUCCAGCCAUACCGCGUGGGUUAAGAAGGCCUUCGGGUUGUAAAGCCCUUUUGUUGGGAAAGAAAAGCAGCAGGUUAAUACCCCGCUGUUCUGACGGUACCCAAAGAAUAAGCACCGGCUAACUUCGUG
Molecule: ribosomal RNA, 492 nt
Filed under: uncultured bacterium
Lineage: Bacteria
Description: partial 16S ribosomal RNA
Rfam family: Bacterial small subunit ribosomal RNA
Source: RNAcentral